GGAGCCCGGGCCGCCGCCUCCCGCGCCCGGGCUCGCCGGUCCCUGAGGCCGGGCCCGGGCGGGGAACGGGGGAUCCGCGCUGCAGGCGCCGCCGCACGACCCGAGCCCCGGAGCUGGCCGGGUCACGCUCGCGCUCGUGCACGCCGUCUCGGCGUUCGCCGUUGCUGGGCAACGCCCGUGACGUCACAGGACGGAACGUUGAGUGCGAGGCAGAGCCCGGGGGCAGGGGAUGCAGCUGGCGGUAGGAACUAUCCUACCCCAUCCUCUGCUCUGUCUCCCAAGUCUCGCAGCUCCAGCCCAGUGAGGUUCAGCCGCCGGGCAGAAGUGGCAAGGGACCAAGGGAUCAAACUCAGGUCAGCAGGUUUGACAAAAUGCACUGAGCCAGCUCACUGGCCCUUCUACGUUUUUCUCAGAGGACUUCCAUGAAGCCUCCCUUCCCAACCCCUUCAGACCUUUCUGGGCCCUGGUGGCCAAGACCUCUGUCCCAUGCCAGCUGUGGCCAUAUUCGACAACCAAAAGCAAAGCAGGAAAACAAUGGCGAACAUCAAGGAACUUCCGCAACAGACUGUGUAGAAUGUGGUUUAUUUGUCUCAAAGUGCACAUGAGAGAACUGUGGUGGUGGUCUGCACAGAGACAGAGCCAUGGCCUGUGCGUAAGGCACCGUCUGAACACACGGGCUCCAGACUGCGCCAUGUGUACCAUGCGAUCAAGAAAUGCUUCGGAAGAAAUGUCAAAGGGCAUGGGGAAGGCUGGUCCCUUGGAUGCGUGGAGGUUCUCCUGGUAUUGUACACAUUGGCGAUUCACACUCCGAACAUACCCUCCUGGAGAGCCCUGGCCUAGAGUCUGGGUCAAGUCGUUACCAAGUUUCCUCGGGUGUAACUCUCUGGGGUUGGGCACAGGACGUGCUAACCUCUCUGCUCCCAGGCAUGCAGGUGGGCGUGGCAUGGAAGGACUGCCUCUCAUAUUCAAUCUAGAGAUGGUGUCUCCUGUGAAAGAGUUCCACAGGCACCUUUCUCUCCACCCCUCACAAGAGACCUCACUUGAAAGAAACAGCAAUAUACUGAGCUAAGGCCUUAUCCUAA
Molecule: long non-coding RNA, 1082 nt
Organism: Mastomys coucha (southern multimammate mouse)
Lineage: Eukaryota; Metazoa; Chordata; Mammalia; Rodentia; Muridae
Exons: 2
Source: RefSeq, a predicted model, not a curated record